UCUAUCGGGCUACUCCAAAUGCAUUCUGAGCUUCACUAUCAGUCAAUUUUCUACAAUGAUUGACUAUUCUCCGAAUCUCUUCCAAACUUCUUCUAGCCAUGAACAACUUUACUCCGAACUUCUUCCAGACUUCAUCAAUGUCCGAGCUUCUCCAAUAGCAGGACUUCUACAGUAACUAGACUCCAUCUAAGUUUCUACGAU
RNAcentral lists this long non-coding RNA (201 nucleotides) under Elaeis guineensis (African oil palm). RNAcentral's name for it is "long non-coding RNA (EGUI_LNC059176)". Lineage: Eukaryota; Viridiplantae; Streptophyta; Magnoliopsida; Arecales; Arecaceae. The record is from RNAcentral.